AACGAACGCUGGCGGCGGGGCUUAGGCAUGCAAGUCGAGCGAGAAAGCCGCAAGGCGAGUACAGCGGCGUAAGGGUGAGUAAUAGGUAGUCAACGUAUCGCGCGGACGCGGAUAAUUUCCCGAAAGGGAUUGUAAUACGCGAUGAGACCCACGGGGCCCUUCGGGGCCGAGGGGUCGAAACGUAAGGGGAGUCCUUCCGGGACCGUCGCGCCGUGUGAGCGGACGACCUCCGAUUAG
Molecule: ribosomal RNA, 237 nt
Filed under: uncultured bacterium
Lineage: Bacteria
Description: partial 16S ribosomal RNA
Rfam family: Bacterial small subunit ribosomal RNA
Source: RNAcentral